This 28-nucleotide small RNA is filed under the name Bombyx mori (domestic silkworm). RNAcentral describes it as "ovarian small RNA-17238". The record is from RNAcentral. Lineage: Eukaryota; Metazoa; Arthropoda; Insecta; Lepidoptera; Bombycidae.
GGACCAACGAGUAUGGCUGCGGCCUCUA